GCCUUUUCUUUUUCCUUCGACAAUGCCUUCGCCUAGCCACAGCAGCUCCCUCAUACAGACUCCGCAAGCCAAGAGGCCGUGGAGGCAAAUGCAGACAGCCAGCACACCUCGAACAGCCACCUUGACUGCGGGUGUGUCACCCUAGUCGCCAAGGAAACAUUUGAGGGAAAGCGACAGGCAAUGUGAACAGCCACUUCUCCAUGUAAACGAUACUCUUUCUCUCGGAUGACUCCUACGUUCGCCACGCCAGCACACUUGUGCACAAAGAUGCCGCGGAGGCACGUGCAGGUCAGAGGCAAGAAGCAGUGGCACUGGUGUCGACAUUCACCCAAUUUCUUUUUCUUACACUGAGGCAGCCAGCACACCUCGAACAGCCACCUUAACUGCGGGUGUGUUAGUAGAUUCCUGUUGUACAUAUGCUCAUAAUAAACUUCAGUAAACUUGAACUUGAUAAUAAACUUGAAGGCAAAUGGGA
Molecule: long non-coding RNA, 475 nt
Filed under: Dermacentor andersoni
Lineage: Eukaryota; Metazoa; Arthropoda; Arachnida; Ixodida; Ixodidae
Description: uncharacterized LOC126544045
Source: RNAcentral